Molecule: long non-coding RNA, 660 nt
Organism: Mesocricetus auratus (golden hamster)
Lineage: Eukaryota; Metazoa; Chordata; Mammalia; Rodentia; Cricetidae
Exons: 2
Source: RefSeq, a predicted model, not a curated record
CUGUGUGGUGUGACUUUGUGGUACUCCUUGGUUCCUGGCUGACAAUAUCCUUCCAUCUGAGCUGUGAUGCUCAGAUGUUGUCAAGACUCAAACUGGCUCUCCUGGUGCCUGUAUUUUCCCUCACGGUCUAAGCUGCACUGGGACCCUAUCCCUCAUCUCUGGUCCACCGGCAACACACACACCUGCCGACUCACCGAUUGCUCAGCAACCCACCCACCAGCAAUAAUUAGACACCCUCUCGGAAGAAAGCCCUUGACUGUGAAGGCCCAGCCCUUGGAGCCUCCGAAGCUCCCAGAAGCUUCCAUGGGACAGGAUCAGAAUCUGUGUAGCGGCCAGCCCUGAUGACACCCAGCUCCCUGCAGUGUUCUAGCCCCUCAGGGACACUGCAACAGCUUCCUCAGGCUCUAAGUAUGCCCUGCUCCCGAGACUCCCAGCCAGCCCAGAAUAGGCCAGGCCAACCCCAACCCUCUGUCCUUCCUACGUCCUGAAGUCAAGUUUGUGGGUGCUGCCUCACAGAACCAGGGCUACACCAGAGUGGACAUGAAUCCAGUGGUGGUGUUAGGAGAGUCUUGUUUGGGUGUGCGAUUUUUUUUUUUCGUUUUCCUUUUCUCUGCCUUUUUCCCUAUUUUAAAAUAAAUGUUUAUCACUGUUAGAGAGAGA